GUUAACAUGUGUUAUUAGUUAACAUGUUUUUUUCAUUACCAAUUGUAAGAAAAGUAGUAGACGAGCAUUGGGUGGUGAACAUACUGUUUCAAUUGUAACCUAUGAUACUCAUUAACAAGUGUACAUACCUUUACUGUUACUUGAAAACAAUAAGCAAUUGUAACAUAUGUUACACAUCUUACGUAAGUAUAUGCAGUACAUGGUGGAACAUGUAAAGUAACAUGUGUUACAUACGAUGUAGUGAAUAAAAAACAAGGCACAUAUAUAGUGAAUAACAUACGUAUAGAUGUAACACGAGUAUAUGCGCCACAAAGGCAUACGCAUGUUACAUGUGUGUAUGAAAUACACUUGGUAUAUAUAAAACACUUAGUAUAUGUA
This 378-nucleotide long non-coding RNA is filed under the name Helianthus annuus (common sunflower). RNAcentral describes it as "hypothetical non coding rna". Lineage: Eukaryota; Viridiplantae; Streptophyta; Magnoliopsida; Asterales; Asteraceae. The record is from RNAcentral.